This 70-nucleotide transfer RNA is filed under the name Isoodon obesulus (southern brown bandicoot). RNAcentral's name for it is "tRNA-Trp". It matches the Rfam family "tRNA". From Rfam's summary of the family: Transfer RNA (tRNA) molecules are approximately 80 nucleotides in length. Their secondary structure includes four short double-helical elements and three loops (D, anti-codon, and T loops). Lineage: Eukaryota; Metazoa; Chordata; Mammalia; Peramelemorphia; Peramelidae. The record is from RNAcentral.
AAGGGCUUAGGUUCAAUAUAGACCGAAGGCCUUCAAAGCCUUAAGCAGAUGUUAAAUCAUCUAGCCUUUG